AGAGUUUGAUCCUGGCUCAGGAUGAACGCUGGCGGCGUGCCUAACACAUGCAAGUCGAGCGAUUUACUUCGGUAAAGAGCGGCGGACGGGUGAGUAACGCGUGGGUAACCUGCCCUGUACACAUGGAUAACAUACCGAAAGGUAUGCUAAUACAAGAUAAAAUAUAUUUAUCGCAUGAUAGAUAUAUCAAAGCGUUAGCGGUACAGGAUGGACCCGCGUCUGAUUAGCUAGUUGGUAAGGUAAAGGCUUACCAAGGCGACGAUCAGUAGCCGACCUGAGAGGGUGAUCGGCCACAUUGGAACUGAGACACGGUCCAAACUCCUACGGGAGGCAGCAGUGGGGAAUAUUGCACAAUGGGCGAAAGCCUGAUGCAGCAACGCCGCGUGAGCGAAGAAGGCCUUCGGGUCGUAAAGCUCUGCCCUCAAGGAAGAUAAUGACGG
This 440-nucleotide ribosomal RNA is filed under the name uncultured bacterium. Its description in RNAcentral is "bacterial SSU rRNA". It matches the Rfam family "Bacterial small subunit ribosomal RNA", at positions 8 to 457 of the family's 1533-position model. The record is from RNAcentral.